Mastomys coucha (southern multimammate mouse) is the source of this 2181-nucleotide long non-coding RNA. RefSeq lists it as uncharacterized. The record is from RefSeq and is a predicted model, not a curated record. Lineage: Eukaryota; Metazoa; Chordata; Mammalia; Rodentia; Muridae. The transcript has 2 exons.
GGGGGGGGGGGGGGGGGGGGGUGUCGCCAUGCCUCUCCUUUGUCCUGACUGGUGGAGUUGAGCAUGGGCUGGGCCCUGGGGUGCUCGAGGAUUGGCCACCUGGGUAGUCCAUCAAAGGCUGACGCGGGGAAGGGUGACCAUUUGGGGAGGAAGUAAAGAUUAUUUUGGUACCUCCUCCCCAAGUUAUUGAUUGGUGGAGGUUUGCCGUGAUGAAAACAGGGCAUAAAAAUAUCCGUAAAGGUACAGGGCCGAUUGGCCGGUCUCUCAGGGAGGAAUUCUAGGGCGGACUGUGAAGAGCCAGCCCAGGCUGUUUUUGUAGGGGAGGACCAAAUGGGUUGACACCCGGAAAUGAGUUAGGAAGGGAACUCAGGGAAAGCGGGGGAAACCGGCUCACCUACUUUGCCCUCACAAAGGUCAUUUCCUGCGUGGGAUCGAUAGUUUCCUGUUUACUUACUCCUCGGGAGGGAGCGUGUGCACUGGCUUCCUGCAAUGUACUCGAUAUUCACACUUAACUUUUGAGCCCAGGCUUCCCUUUUAGUCACAGUACCAACGAGAAUGAAUGAGAUGGUGAAAAGGAAACGUAUUGGGUUUAUUUCCAUGUAGAGAACGAAAAUGGAGUGGGGCUGGAGAUUGUCUUCCUGCACGCAAGAAGACAAAACUAGGCGUAAUAGCGUACACCUGUGAUCCCAGCUUUUGAGGAGGUGAAAGCAGGAUGUUCAGAAGCUGAAAGUCAUCCUCGACUACAUAGAGAGUUAGAAGCAAGUCUGGAUUAAAUUUGAAGAUGGGGGAGGGAGUUCUUGAUGGUUGAAAGUGAAAAGAACUGGAAAUAACCCAGCUUGGUGACUCACCCCUUUAAUCCUGGAGUUUGGGAGACUGGCAAGCUAAUUUCUGAAUGUGAGGCUAGCCUGCUCAAACAAAGCGAGAUCCAGGACCGUCCAGUUAGACGCAAAAAAAAAAAAGUCUGUAAAAAGCGUUUCUCUGAAACUUUUCUUUACCCUCUUGGGUCCCACCCGGGACAGGCAGUGAAUACACAGGUGGUUGACGCUCUGCUGAAGGAAGAGGACAAAGUGUGAGAGGGAAAUAUUAUUUUUAAAGGUGCCUUUGUAUAUCUUACGAAACCUCCCCACUUUUUAAAUUCUCACUUAACCACUUGGGUUAAUUCACCUGUAACUUCAGAAAUGGGUGUCUUCCGGAGUCUUCCAGGAAAGCUCCCAGGGAAAGCAAAAUGCUUGUUUUCAUGGAAACCGGAACACCAUAGCCCAGGGGUCAGUCUGACCUCACUGUGUAAGGGAGGCUGUAUUUCAAGGUGCCACCUCUCUUGCUCUACGAUUAAAGGCUUAUACCACAGUCCCUCUUUUUUAUAAAGUGCUGGGGAUGAAACUUCAAGCAUGCUAGGCAAGCACUUUACUAAUCCAGUCUCUACUGGUUAGGGUUUUGGUUUUCCUUCAUACCCAGAGGCCUUUAAAAUUCGAAGCAAGAUUACCCCUCAAGCUACUUUCCUGAACAAUGAAAGGCGCAAUGUGAUGGAAAACUCUCCUCUACAGUCAGUGCCGCGGCUCUUCUUGGCCAUACUAGGAAUGGGCGGCAGUGGAAUGGGCAGCAGUGGAAUGGGCAGCAGUGGCAGCAGCUCUUGCUUCUGUGUAGUGGCCUUGACUGCCCAGAGAGAGCUCCUUAUAUACUCGAGCCCAAGCUCCCGUGAUCCUCCUGGAUUGGUUCCCCGGCAAUCACCUCAUUAGCAUACACCUGCUUGGGAGAGGUGCUGUGCAGCAUACGCCCGCUGGGGAGACACCUGCAUGAGCCCGCUCGGGAGGGGUGCAUGCGCUGCCACCGCUGGAGUCUUGGAUUUGAUCCAAUUAUACAUAUUUAUGCCAAAGGAAACAAAAAUGUUGAAUUUUUCAAGAAUUUUAAGAAUGUUUAAGAAAUACUUUAUUUCUAGUGAUGUUAAAUAAACCACGCAAAAAAACAAAAACUUCUUUUUGGUUAAUUAUAAAUAAACUCAGCAUAAUCAGUUUGGUUUUCAUUUUACCCAGUAAACCAAAGUUGAAACUUUUGGAAAUGUCAGGGCAGAAGAGUUAGCAAUUCGGAGCCAAGAACCAAGCCUAAGAAAAUUGUUCUAAUCACAAAUCCAAGUCCACUGACAUGGGCAGUAUUGUUUUAUUCCCUGUGGUACUGGGAAGCUAG